Molecule: ribosomal RNA, 497 nt
Filed under: uncultured bacterium
Lineage: Bacteria
Description: partial 16S ribosomal RNA
Rfam family: Bacterial small subunit ribosomal RNA
Source: RNAcentral
GAUGAACGCUGGCGGCGUGCCUAAUACAUGCAAGUCGAGCGAACAGAUGAGGAUCUUGCUCCUCUGACGUUAGCGGCGGACGGGUGAGUAACACGUGGAUAACCUACCUAUAAGACUGGGAUAACUUCGGGAAACCGGAGCUAAUACCGGAUAAUAUAUUGAACCGCAUGGUUCAAUAGUGAAAGACGGUUUUGCUGUCACUUAUAGAUGGAUCCGCGCCGCAUUAGCUAGUUGGUAAGGUAACGGCUUACCAAGGCAACGAUGCGUAGCCGACCUGAGAGGGUGAUCGGCCACACUGGAACUGAGACACGGUCCAGACUCCUACGGGAGGCAGCAGUAGGGAAUCUUCCGCAAUGGGAGAAAGCCUGACGGAGCAACGCCGCGUGAGUGAUGAAGGUCUUCGGAUCGUAAAACUCUGUUAUUAGGGAAGAACAAAUGUGUAAGUAACUAUGCACGUCUUGACGGUACCUAAUCAGAAAGCCACGGCUAACUACGUG